AGCGAACGCUGGCGGCAGGCCUAACACAUGCAAGUCGAACGAACCUUUCGGGGUUAGUGGCGGACGGGUGAGUAACCCGUGGGAACGUGCCUUUAGGAUUGGCCUAACUCAGGGACACUUGUGCUAAUACCGAAUGUGCCCUUCUGGGGAAAGAUUUAUCGCCUUUCGAGCGGGCGGCGUCUGAUUAGCUAGUUGGUUGAGGUAAUGGCUCACCAAGGCGACGAUCAGUAGCUGGUCUGGGAGAAUGGUCAGCCACAUUGGGACUGAGACACGGCACAAACUCCUACGGGAGGCGGGAGUGGGGAAUCGUGCGCAAUGGGCGGAAUGCUGACGCAGCCAUGCCGGGUGAAUGAUGAAGGUCGGAAGGUAGAAAAAUUCUUGCACCGGGGACGAUAAUGACGGUACCCAGAGAAGAAGCCCCGGCUAACUUCGUG
Molecule: ribosomal RNA, 434 nt
Filed under: uncultured bacterium
Lineage: Bacteria
Description: partial 16S ribosomal RNA
Rfam family: Bacterial small subunit ribosomal RNA
Source: RNAcentral